Non-coding RNA from Neolamprologus brichardi, 462 nucleotides. NCBI's taxonomy places the organism in Eukaryota, Metazoa, Chordata, Actinopteri, Cichliformes, Cichlidae. The record is from RefSeq and is a predicted model, not a curated record.
GUCGCGAUGCGGGCUUUUACUCGGACACACCAUAGCAAGACUACCACUAUAUAACCACAUGAAUUUAGGUUGCCUCGAGAAGCAUACAAACGAGUUAUUUUCUAUUUAUAUUGUUAAAGCAAACCUCAGUAUAAAUAGUCUGGAGAGGAGUUUGCUAGCGGGUGACUGCACGGACUUCGGCCAUGUGCGUCGAGGAAAAAAAGCGCAGACGAUGUUAACUAUAUGAUACAAGAUCCUCAGCUAUGCAGCCCGCCUCCUCUCCUUUCUCCUCCUCACCGUGGUCACUCAGAACCCUGUCCCAGCCUCCAUCUUCAUCACUACCAGCAUUUUGACUCUGGGGUGUCGCUCAUGCAAAAUCCUGUCACUGCUGAGAUUUCUUCUGCUAUAAUGGGUCACUGGAGUCUAACUGCCUAACAGUUACAUUUAUUUCUGUAUCUCAAUAAAUCCUGUUCGGUUUUUCCA